This 72-nucleotide transfer RNA is filed under the name Bos taurus (domestic cattle). It matches the Rfam family "tRNA". Rfam says of the family: Transfer RNA (tRNA) molecules are approximately 80 nucleotides in length. Their secondary structure includes four short double-helical elements and three loops (D, anti-codon, and T loops). RNAcentral also lists the same sequence under 4 other names. The record is from Rfam by way of RNAcentral. Lineage: Eukaryota; Metazoa; Chordata; Mammalia; Artiodactyla; Bovidae.
UCCCUGGUGGCUCAGACAGUGGAGCAUCUGCCUACAAUGCGGGAGACCCAGGUUCAAACCCUGAGUUGGGAA